RNAcentral lists this ribosomal RNA (378 nucleotides) under uncultured bacterium. Its description in RNAcentral is "bacterial SSU rRNA". It matches the Rfam family "Bacterial small subunit ribosomal RNA", at positions 30 to 410 of the family's 1533-position model. The record is from RNAcentral.
AUUGAACGCUGGCGGCAGGCCUAACACAUGCAAGUCGAGCGGUAGAGAGGUGCUUGCAUCUCUUGAGAGCGGCGGACGGGUGAGUAAUGCCUAGGAAUCUGCCUGGUGGUGGGGGAUAACGUUCGGAAACGGACGCUAAUACCGCAUACGUCCUACGGGAGAAAGCGGGGGAUCUUCGGACCUCGCGCCAUUAGAUGAGCCUAGGUCGGAUUAGCUAGUUGGUGAGGUAAUGGCUCACCAAGGCGACGAUCCGUAACUGGUCUGAGAGGAUGAUCAGUCACACUGGAACUGAGACACGGUCCAGACUCUACGGAGGCAGCAGUGGGGAAUAUUAGGACAAUGGCGAAAGCCUGAUCCAGCCAUGCCGCGUGUGUGAAG